This 741-nucleotide ribosomal RNA is filed under the name Shigella sonnei. RNAcentral describes it as "partial 23S ribosomal RNA". It matches the Rfam family "Bacterial large subunit ribosomal RNA", at positions 474 to 1216 of the family's 2925-position model. Lineage: Bacteria; Pseudomonadati; Pseudomonadota; Gammaproteobacteria; Enterobacterales; Enterobacteriaceae. The record is from RNAcentral.
UCCUGACUGACCGAUAGUGAACCAGUACCGUGAGGGAAAGGCGAAAAGAACCCCGGCGAGGGGAGUGAAAAAGAACCUGAAACCGUGUACGUACAAGCAGUGGGAGCACGCUUAGGCGUGUGACUGCGUACCUUUUGUAUAAUGGGUCAGCGACUUAUAUUCUGUAGCAAGGUUAACCGAAUAGGGGAGCCGAAGGGAAACCGAGUCUUAACUGGGCGUUAAGUUGCAGGGUAUAGACCCGAAACCCGGUGAUCUAGCCAUGGGCAGGUUGAAGGUUGGGUAACACUAACUGGAGGACCGAACCGACUAAUGUUGAAAAAUUAGCGGAUGACUUGUGGCUGGGGGUGAAAGGCCAAUCAAACCGGGAGAUAGCUGGUUCUCCCCGAAAGCUAUUUAGGUAGCGCCUCGUGAAUUCAUCUCCGGGGGUAGAGCACUGUUUCGGCAAGGGGGUCAUCCCGACUUACCAACCCGAUGCAAACUGCGAAUACCGGAGAAUGUUAUCACGGGAGACACACGGCGGGUGCUAACGUCCGUCGUGAAGAGGGAAACAACCCAGACCGCCAGCUAAGGUCCCAAAGUCAUGGUUAAGUGGGAAACGAUGUGGGAAGGCCCAGACAGCCAGGAUGUUGGCUUAGAAGCAGCCAUCAUUUAAAGAAAGCGUAAUAGCUCACUGGUCGAGUCGGCCUGCGCGGAAGAUGUAACGGGGCUAAACCAUGCACCGAAGCUGCGGCAGCGACGCUU